RNAcentral lists this unclassified non-coding RNA (372 nucleotides) under Hevea brasiliensis (rubber tree). Lineage: Eukaryota; Viridiplantae; Streptophyta; Magnoliopsida; Malpighiales; Euphorbiaceae. The record is from RNAcentral.
UUUUUUUUUUUUUUUUUUUAAAAACUUAUUUCGCGUUCAAUAUUCUCUUCAAAAAUACUUAUCCAUGAGAAACAACUCUUUGUUAAACUAAAAAACAAAGUCCAAAAUCUGUCACUGCCCUAAAAACUAACAAGUUCAAUAAAAUUUUAGACAUCCUACCUCAAUUCCACUGUAAAAAUUUUGAAAUAAAUUUGUUGGACUUGAAAGGGUUGUAAACAACCACUAAAACACAGGCAAUGUAUCCUUAUUUAUUAGCUUUACUCAACCGAAAAUCCCCUUGUCUGCUGAUGACUACAACCCCACGGAUUUCUCCAGCUUUUGGAUCUGGUUCAGGAAUAUCCAUGUCAUCAUGACAUGGGGAGCAAUUCUAAC